UGAGUCUAGUACUGUAUAUAAAACGGGUCAACAUGUCUCUGUGUCUCUAAACUGAAAACUGUGUCUAGGUGUUCCAUACCCAGUGCCACCCUUUCUCAAUACGUGAGUGUAGCUUUGAGAAGAAAGAGCUUAGAGAGAUGGAGAUGGAUAUGUACAGAUGUGUGGAAUGUGGGUUUCGGAUCAAAACACUGUUCGUGCAGUACUCACCUGGAAACAUCCGACUCAUGAAAUGCGAGAAUUGCAAAGCAGUUGCUGAUGAGUACAUCGAAUGUAAUUUCUUGAUUCUUCUAAUUGAUUUGAUUCUGCACAAGCCCAAAGCAUAUAGACAUCUACUCUUUAACGUUCUUAAACAAGGAGCUCCACAUUUUGAGGGUUUAUUGUGGAAGUCAACUGUUGGUUAUCUUCUUUUGGAUGCUUACAGGCGUAUUGUUCUAAAAAGUUGUGAUGAAGAGUGGAGUUCGUCCAUGAGCCUUUCUUCAUUAGUUUGGACAUGUCGAAAGUUGUUGACAGAUGUCUUUCUUGGCAAUCUUUUGUUUCUCGGUACUUUUCUUCUUGCAACAAAGAUAUUUCUGAGCAGAUCAGCUGGAAGCCUAAGGAAUAAAGAUAUUUUGCUUGCAAUCUUGAUUUCAAGUUACUUCAAGAUGUUUCUUAUCGUCAUGAUGGUCUGGGAGUUUCCAUCUUCUGUGAUUUUCAUCGUUGAUCUAUUUGUUUUAUCAUCCAACACAGUGGCAGUAAAAGUGAUGACUGAAUCAGCUAUGAGUAGAUGCAUAGGAGCCUGCUUCAGUGCACAUGCUGUUAAGAUUUUCACCAAUCAGUAAAAGUUUUGUAGAGAUGUUAGACCUUACUGUGACGGCAAAUGUUCUCUAAACAAGCGGGUGUAAGACUGUUUAGCAACUACCUUUUCCAUUUCUACUCAAAAUCUACAAAAGUGAGAGCCUAAUCCACUUGAUGGCACUAUUGGCAGAGGCAAUCCCAUGGCUGGUUUCCAUUAUGGCAGCAUUGCCUAAGAUUAAGUAGUGAUCCAACUCUUCUGAAUUCACUUCCAUGCAGAAAAAAACUGCUACCUUGCUAGUUGCUAUCACCUUUUUUGUGAGUCAAAAAACUUACUAUGAGAUGUUGAAAGUCGGGAAGAGUUUUAGCUUACUUGGUUUGAUCAUGAUGUACUACUACUAUAUUUUGAAUUUUUACAGAGAAGUAGGGAACUAUUGGUAGUUUGGUAACUUCGGUUUUCUUAUAGCUAGUUACAUGAGUUAAUAAUUUUGGAAUAGCUCUCAGAUUGAAAAUUUAUCA
Molecule: RNA transcript, 1290 nt
Organism: Quercus lobata
Lineage: Eukaryota; Viridiplantae; Streptophyta; Magnoliopsida; Fagales; Fagaceae
Gene: ARV2
Gene name: Arv1-like protein
Exons: 11
Source: RefSeq, a predicted model, not a curated record